Misgurnus anguillicaudatus (oriental weatherfish) is the source of this 1137-nucleotide non-coding RNA. Lineage: Eukaryota; Metazoa; Chordata; Actinopteri; Cypriniformes; Cobitidae. The record is from RefSeq and is a predicted model, not a curated record.
ACAGCUUGAGUACUAAUGAGUUAUUUCCUAAUUUACUCACAGCCAUUGUAUCGUCUUCUUAAUAAUCUGCCGGUCAAACUUCAUUAAACUGCUAUAGAUCAACUACAUCACCAUGUAACUCGGCAUACAUCUCUCUCUCUCUCUCAUCUCUUCACCCCAUUCACUCUCUCUUUAAUCUUUCAUUUUUACAGAUAGUGUUGCUGAUGAAGGUUCUCUUUCAUCCUCCUCUCUGAAUUCAUUUAGUUUGAGAAGAGAAGAUACUGAUGAGCAGCAGAAAGAAUCAAAGAUGAGGAGAAACACCGCAUCUGUCAGUUCUGUUCCCAGUGCAGCACCAUGGACAGCUCCACAACACUUAACAGGCAGUGAGGUGUCAGACACAAAACAGAAACAGGACUGUUGGUUCACACGUGGCAUCAAUUCAUGAAAAACACCUUCCAGAGGAAACUGUGCAGAAAAGUCACAUCUGUUGCUGUUGAGGCUUCACUGAGCGACAUCCAAACACAGACAAACAAAUACACAGAUGUUCCAUGCAGAUCGGUAAUCAAGGCGUGAUGAAUCAUCUCUCUGAUCUCUGUAACCUCUUGGCUUCUGCAGUCUGGAUCAUGGCAGAAGAUUAAGAUUAAGAAACACCAAAGGUGAAAAGUGAAGACUAAGACAGCUUGAUCAAAAACUCAGACGUAUUCCAGAGAGAGAGAGAGAGAGAAAGAAAGAGAGAGCCUAAGUGCAGAGACUCUUUGAUAUCAGAGCUGGGUAAUCCACCUUUUUGAUUCCUCUGUCAUGUCUUCAUCCCUCCACCAAAGUGCCCUUUCAUUAACCUUUGACUCCCAUUGCCAUGGCGUUUGAAGUACUUGGUCUUAAGUGGGCUUAUCACUGAAGUCAUUGUUUUUCUUUUCUCUCGCACGCUCUCUCUGACCUGUUUUUUUUUUCUGAAAGUAUCACUUUCUCAGAGGUCUGUUAAAAGGCACAGGUUAAGAAAACUCUCAUGACAUCUCUCUAUUAUGUAACUAUUCUCCAACUCUUCAUUAGCAAACAUACGAUAAUGGGUGUUGUUACCCAGCUAUUAAUUGAAACAACACAGCAUUUGGGUUGAAAUGAACCCAACUGCUGGGUUCGUCCAUAUUUGACCCAACUAUGUCU